This is a long non-coding RNA of Musa acuminata AAA Group (dessert banana), 489 nucleotides long. RefSeq lists it as uncharacterized. NCBI's taxonomy places the organism in Eukaryota, Viridiplantae, Streptophyta, Magnoliopsida, Zingiberales, Musaceae. The transcript is spliced from 2 exons. The record is from RefSeq and is a predicted model, not a curated record.
GUCACCAUCAUGAAGAAACUGCUUUGUGCAUAUGUCUCCUGUGUUCUUAUGUUGGCCCCUCAUCUCUCUCACCAGGCAGCACUGGUAGAUUCUUCUUCCUCCUUUCCAUCUCCAACCACAGAUGGCCGAGACCUAGGCAGAAAGUCACUGAAGGAGGUUGGCUUCCCACCGCCGAAUUGUGCAGGCAAAGAGAAAGCUGAGAUGUUUCCUAGGACGAAGGAAUCAAAGCUCAAGGUCAGUUCACUAGGCAACGAGCACAAGAAGCACGAGGAAGGGGAAGGUCUCAUCAUCUACAGCGCAGAUUACAGUCUAGUGAGCACGCAUCCUCCUCCACUGCACAAGCAUUCCAAGCCAUAGUCUUCUAGUUGCUCCACAUGGUGUUGUUACAUUUAUGCAUGUUGGAUGUAGCUUUUCCACUGAAGUACCUUCUCUUAUGUUCUGUCACUGUUCUCCAUCGUCUUCCUCAAAUAACACCUAAAAUGUCGCUCA